RNAcentral lists this ribosomal RNA (59 nucleotides) under Lactarius pubescens. RNAcentral's name for it is "partial large subunit ribosomal RNA". Lineage: Eukaryota; Fungi; Basidiomycota; Agaricomycetes; Russulales; Russulaceae. The record is from RNAcentral.
CUUGACCUCAAAUCGGGUGAGACUACCCGCUGAACUUAAGCAUAACAAUAAGCGAAAGG